CGAAAGGGCGAGUAAUGCGAUCGAACGUACCCCAAGGUGGAGGAUAGCGUCGGGAAACCGGCAGUAAUACUCCAUGUGCUCUUCGGAGGAAAGCUUUGGCGCCUUGGGAGCGGCGAUCGUCCUAUCAGGUAGUUGGUGAGGUAACGGCUCACCAAGCCGAAGACGGGUAGCGGGUGUGAGAGCAUGACCCGCCGCAUCGGAACUGAGACACUGUCCGGACUCCUACGGGAGGCUGCAGCGACGAAUCUUCCGCAAUGGGCGCAAGCCUGACGGAGCAAUGCCGCGUGUGGGAUGAAGCGUCUUCGACGUGUAAACCACUGUCAGAUUCUAGGAACACUGACCAGAAUCAGAGGAAGGGCCGGCUAACCUCGUGCCAGCAGCCGCGGUAAUACGAGGGGCCCGAGCGUUAAUCAGAAUCACUGGGCUUAAAGCGUGCGCAGGCGGUUCAGCAAGCGUCUUGUGAAAUCCCUCGGCUCAACCGGGGAAGUGCAGGGCGAACUGCUGGACUUGAGGCAGGUAGGGGCUGAUGGAACCAUGAGUGGAGCGGUGAAAUGCGUAGAUAUUCAUGGGAACGCCGAUGGGGAAGCCGAUCAGCUGGGCCUGUCCUGACGCUCAGGCACGAAAGCGUGGGGAGCAAACAGGAUUAGAUACCCUGGUAGUCCACGCCGUAAACGAUGCACACUAGGUCGG
Molecule: ribosomal RNA, 690 nt
Filed under: uncultured bacterium
Lineage: Bacteria
Description: bacterial SSU rRNA
Rfam family: Bacterial small subunit ribosomal RNA
Source: RNAcentral